AGAGUUUGAUCCUGGCUCAGGACGAACGCUGGCGGCGUGCUUAAUGAAUGCGAGUCGUACGAGAAGCAGGGAGCAGAUCCUUCGGGUGACGCACCCUGUGGAGAGUGGCAAACGGGUGAGUAACACGUGGGUAACCUGCCUCCAAGACGGAAAUAACACAGGGAAACCUGUGCUAAUGUCCGAUGGUCUACCGGUACGAAGGUACUGGAUAGUAAAAGCUUUUGCGCUUGGAGAUGGGCCCGCGGCCCAUUAGCUUGUUGGUGAGGUAACGGCUCACCAAGGCAACAAUGGGUAGCCGGUCUGAGAGGAUGGUCGGCCACACUGGGACUGAGACAUGGUCCAGACUCCUACGGGAGUUAGCAUCAGGGAAUCUUGCGCAAUGGACGAAAGUCUGACGCAGCGACGCCGCGUGUGGGAUGAAGGCCUUCGGGUUGUAAACCACUGUCAGAAGGGACGAACACCGCGUCUUUGACGCGGCUUGACUGUACCUUCAGAGGAAGCCCCGGCUAACUACGUGCCAGCAGCCGCGGUAAAACGUAGGGGGCAAGCGUUGUCCGGAAUUACUGGGCGUACAGAGCGCGUAGGCGGUCUGCCAAGCGGAGGGUGAAAUUCCGAAGCUCAACUUCGGAACUGCUUUCCGAACUGGUGGACUAGAGUACGGGAGAGGGUAGUGGAAUUCCUGGUGUAGCGGUGGAAUGCGUAAAUAUCAGGAGGAACACCAGUGGCGAAGGCUGCUGCCUGGAACGUUACUGACGCUGAGGCGCGAAAGCUAGGGGAGCGAACGGGAUUAGAUACCCCGGUAGUCCUAGCCGUAAACGAUGGACACUAGGUGUUGGAGGAUCGACCCCUUCAGUGCUGUUCUGUUAACGCGUUAAGUGUCCCGCCUGGGGAGUACGGCCGCAAGGCUAAAACUCAAAGGAAUUGACGGGGGCCCGCACAAGCGGUGGAGCAUGUUGGUUAAUUGGAUGAUACGCCAAGAACCUUGCCAGGGCUUGACAUGUCGCUGACGACCUGGGAAACCAGGUGUUCCGCUUCGGCGGACAGCGUCACAGGUGGUGCAUGGUUGUCGACAGCUCGUGUCGUGAGAUGUUGGGUUAAGUCCCGCAACGAGCGCAACCCUCGCCGAAUGUUGCCAGCGGGUAAAGCCGGGGACUCUUUCGGGACUGCCUGAGUAAUCAGGAGGAAGGAGAGGACGACGUCAAAUCGGCAUGCCCCUUAUGCUCUGGGCUGCAAACGUGCUACAAUGGUCGGUACAGUGGGAAGCGAAGCCGCGAGGUGUAGCUAAUCCCCAAAACCGGUCUCAGUUCGGAUUGGGAGUCUGCAACUCGACCCCAUGAAGCUGGAAUCGGUAGUAAUCGCGGGUCAGCCAUACCGCGGUGAAUACGUACUUGGGCCUUGUACACACCGCCCGUCACACCAACCGAGUAGGCGACACCCGAAGUCGACGUAUGUUGCCCAAGGUGUUACCUGCAAGGGGGGUGAAGUCGUAACAAGGUAACC
This 1500-nucleotide ribosomal RNA is filed under the name uncultured organism. Its description in RNAcentral is "bacterial SSU rRNA". It matches the Rfam family "Bacterial small subunit ribosomal RNA". The record is from RNAcentral.